UACAGGGGGGGCAAGCGUUGUUCGGAAUUACUGGGCGUAAAGGGUUCGUAGGUGGCCAACUUAGUCAGACGUGAAAUCCCUCAGCUUAACUGGGGAACUGCGUCUGAUACUGGAUGGCUUGAGUGCAGGAGAGGAACGCGGAAUUCCAGGUGUAGCGGUGAAAUGCGUAGAUAUCUGGAGGAACACCGGUGGCGAAGGCGGCAUCCUGGACCGAGAUCGACGCUGAGGCGCGAAAGCUAGGGGAGCAAACGGG
Molecule: ribosomal RNA, 253 nt
Filed under: uncultured bacterium
Lineage: Bacteria
Description: partial 16S ribosomal RNA
Rfam family: Bacterial small subunit ribosomal RNA
Source: RNAcentral